CAAGGCGACGAUCCCUAGCUGGUCUGAGAGGAUGACCAGCCACACUGGAACUGAGACACGGUCCAGACUCCUACGGGAGGCAGCAGUGGGGAAUAUUGCACAAUGGGCGCAAGCCUGAUGCAGCCAUGCCGCGUGUAUGAAGAAGGCCUUCGGGUUGUAAAGUACUUUCAGCGGGGAGGAAGGUGUUGUGGUUAAUAACCGCAGCAAUUGACGUUACCCGCAGAAGAAGCACCGGCUAACUCCGUGCCAGCAGCCGCGGUAAUACGGAGGGUGCAAGCGUUAAUCGGAAUUACUGGGCGUAAAGCGCACGCAGGCGGUCUGUCAAGUCGGAUGUGAAAUCCCCGGGCUCAACCUGGGAACUGCAUUCGAAACUGGCAGGCUUGAGUCU
This 388-nucleotide ribosomal RNA is filed under the name Salmonella enterica subsp. enterica serovar 4,[5],12:i:-. RNAcentral's name for it is "bacterial SSU rRNA". It matches the Rfam family "Bacterial small subunit ribosomal RNA", at positions 269 to 649 of the family's 1533-position model. The record is from RNAcentral. Lineage: Bacteria; Pseudomonadati; Pseudomonadota; Gammaproteobacteria; Enterobacterales; Enterobacteriaceae.